GUUUCAAUUCCUCAUAGGCAGGCUAUCGGCGUAUCUCAAAAUGAGACACCGUGUACAUGAUACGUAG
RNAcentral lists this small RNA (67 nucleotides) under Acididesulfobacillus acetoxydans. RNAcentral's name for it is "Peptococcaceae bacterium INE non-coding RNA". The record is from RNAcentral. Lineage: Bacteria; Bacillati; Bacillota; Clostridia; Eubacteriales; Peptococcaceae.